Long non-coding RNA from Triticum aestivum (bread wheat), 869 nucleotides. RefSeq lists it as uncharacterized. The record is from RefSeq and is a predicted model, not a curated record. The transcript is spliced from 2 exons. Lineage: Eukaryota; Viridiplantae; Streptophyta; Magnoliopsida; Poales; Poaceae.
CCACCCUGGGAGCAUUUAACGCAAGGUUGGUGGGGAUCAGCUGAUAUUUACGCGUCCUGGACACUGUUCCUCUUCCUCAUCCUCUUUCCGUUCCCCACUCCUAUCCUCUCAGAUCUAAACUGCCAAUACAUCCGCUCGCUCCCUGUACCGGCCGGCACCGGCGCCCGUCGACAUGUCUGCCUCGUCCUCGACCUCACAGUCCCUCGCACCCAUCCUCCAAGAGCAGCCUCCUCUUCCUCUCAUCCGUUGCCCCUGGUGCCACAACGGCGACAUCGAGUGGUGGGUUUCCCGGACUCCCAAGAACCCCGGGAAACACUUCUACAAGUGCGAGCGUCACUGGCAGCAGAAGUACGCAACGCUAGCCGCUGGGGCAGUGAUUGCUUGUGGCGGCGAGAAGCGAGCAGCAGCUGCAGUACGCGGAGCUGGGGCAGGGGCAGCCCGUGUCGGCGAGCAGCGGCAGCCCGUGGCGUCAGCGAGCAGCAAGAAAUAGGUGGCACAGACGAGAUGGGGAGCAGUAAAUCCAUGCUGCCAACUCUCAAGGUCCUCCUCAUCCUGGGGAUCCUCAAUCUAGCGCCGUUCUGUAUCUCUUCCUGAGGCUCAACUGAACUUGUAAAUAAGAUCUCUGUAGCUAGCCUAAUUCUUUUUUCUUUUUUGCGGAAAAUCACCUGGUUAAUUGUUACCUGCCCUUCGAUCCAGGAAGUUCAUGUGAAAAUAAAAAGUUCCAGGAAGUUCAGAUUUAUAUGUAGCUUCUCUAUCUUCCAAGAUGUAACCAGGAUAUUAAGUUCCAGGAAGUUUACUUAAUAUCCUGGAAGACAGAGAUGCUGGUUUAAGUUUCAGGAGAUAUGGAUUUUUGACUAAGUUGAAUUUAA